This 425-nucleotide ribosomal RNA is filed under the name uncultured Oscillospiraceae bacterium. RNAcentral's name for it is "bacterial SSU rRNA". It matches the Rfam family "Bacterial small subunit ribosomal RNA", at positions 355 to 794 of the family's 1533-position model. Lineage: Bacteria; Bacillati; Bacillota; Clostridia; Eubacteriales; Oscillospiraceae. The record is from RNAcentral.
UGGGGAAUAUUGGGCAAUGGGGGAAACCCUGACCCAGCAACGCCGCGUGAAGGAAGAAGGCCCUCGGGUUGUAAACUUCUUUUACCAGGGACGAAGGACGUGACGGUACCUGGAGAAAAAGCAACGGCUAACUACGUGCCAGCAGCCGCGGUAAUACGUAGGUUGCAAGCGUUGUCCGGAUUUACUGGGUGUAAAGGGCGUGUAGGCGGGAAUGCAAGUCAGAUGUGAAAUCCAUGGGCUUAACCCAUGAACUGCAUUUGAAACUGUAUUUCUUGAGUACUGGAGAGGCAAUCGGAAUUCCUAGUGUAGCGGUGAAAUGCGUAGAUAUUAGGAGGAACACCAGUGGCGAAGGCGGAUUGCUGGACAGCAACUGACGGUGAGGCGCGAAAGUGUGGGGAGCAAACAGGAUUAGAUACCCUGGUAGU